GAGGGUACAGCUCAAGUGGUAGAGCACAUGCUUAGCAUGCAUGAGGUCCUGGGUUCAAUCCUCGGUACCUCCU
Molecule: transfer RNA, 73 nt
Filed under: Camelus bactrianus (Bactrian camel)
Lineage: Eukaryota; Metazoa; Chordata; Mammalia; Artiodactyla; Camelidae
Also listed under: 2 other names
Rfam family: tRNA
About the family: Transfer RNA (tRNA) molecules are approximately 80 nucleotides in length. Their secondary structure includes four short double-helical elements and three loops (D, anti-codon, and T loops).
Source: Rfam by way of RNAcentral